This 253-nucleotide ribosomal RNA is filed under the name uncultured bacterium. RNAcentral's name for it is "partial 16S ribosomal RNA". It matches the Rfam family "Bacterial small subunit ribosomal RNA", at positions 524 to 776 of the family's 1533-position model. The record is from RNAcentral.
UACGUAGGGGGCAAGCGUUGUCCGGAUUUAUUGGGCGUAAAGAGCUCGUAGGCGGUUUGUCGCGUCUGCUGUGAAAACCGGAGGCUCAACCUCCGGCCUGCAGUGGGUACGGGCAGACUAGAGUGCGGUAGGGGAGAUUGGAAUUCCUGGUGUAGCGGUGGAAUGCGCAGAUAUCAGGAGGAACACCGAUGGCGAAGGCAGAUCUCUGGGCCGUAACUGACGCUGAGGAGCGAAAGCUAGGGUAGCAAACGGG